This 329-nucleotide unclassified non-coding RNA is filed under the name soil metagenome. Its description in RNAcentral is "partial contains 5.8S ribosomal RNA, internal transcribed spacer 2, and large subunit ribosomal RNA". The stretch from base 1 to 120 matches the Rfam family "5.8S ribosomal RNA", at positions 35 to 154 of the family's 154-position model. The record is from RNAcentral.
GAUGAAGAACGUAGUGAAAUGUGAUAAGUAGUGUGAAUUGCAGAAUUCAGUGAAUCAUCGAAUCUUUGAACGCACAUUGCGCCCCUUGGUAUCCCGAGGGGCAUGCCUGUUCGAGCGUCAUUUCACCACUCAAGCCUGGCUUGGUGUUGGGCGACGUCCUCUUUGGGGACGCGCCUCGAAACGCUCGGCGGCGUGGCACCGGCUUUAAGCGUAGCAGAAUCUUUCGCUUUGGAAGUCGGGGCCCCGUCUGCCGGAAGACCUGCUCGCAAGGUUGACCUCGGAUCAGGCAGGGAUACCCGCUGAACUUAAGCAUAUCAAUAAGCGGAGGA